GAUUAACGCUGGCGGCGUGCCUAACACAUGCAAGUCGAGCGGCAGCGAGUUUUACACUGAAUUCUGGAAGCUUCUAGUUGAAAGAGAAGAUUUAUUCAAGAAUUUUGUGUAAAAUGUCGGCGAGCGGCGGACGGCUGAGUAACGCGUGGGAACGUACCCCAAAGUGAGGGAUAACGCAUCGAAAGGUGCGCUAAUACCGCAUAUGGUCUUCGGAUUAAAGCCUUCGGGCGCUUUGGGAACGGCCUGCGUAAGAUUAGAUAGUUGGUGGGGUAAUGGCCUACCAAGUCGACGAUCUUUAACUGGUUUGAGAGGAUGAUCAGUCAGACUGGAACUGAGACACGGUCCAGACUCCUACGGGAGGCAGCAGUGAGGAAUCUUCCACAAUGGGCGAAAGCCUGAUGGAGCAACGCCGCGUGCAGGAUGAAGGCCUUCGGGUUGUAAACUGCUUUUAUAAGUGAGGAUUAUGACAGUAACUUAUGAAUAAGGAUCGGCUAACUACGUG
Molecule: ribosomal RNA, 502 nt
Filed under: uncultured bacterium
Lineage: Bacteria
Description: partial 16S ribosomal RNA
Rfam family: Bacterial small subunit ribosomal RNA
Source: RNAcentral